This 609-nucleotide ribosomal RNA is filed under the name uncultured archaeon. RNAcentral describes it as "bacterial SSU rRNA". It matches the Rfam family "Archaeal small subunit ribosomal RNA", at positions 321 to 930 of the family's 1478-position model. The record is from RNAcentral.
CCCUACGGGGUGCAGCAGGCGCGAAAACUUUACAAUGCUGGCAACAGCGAUAAGGGAACCUCGAGUGCCAGGUUACAAAUCUGGCUGUCGAGAUGCCUAAAAAGCAUUUCAUAGCAAGGGCCGGGCAAGACCGGUGCCAGCCGCCGCGGUAACACCGGCGGCUCGAGUGGUAACCGUUAUUAUUGGGUCUAAAGGGUCUGUAGCCGGCCGGAUAAGUCUCUUGAGAAAUCUGGCAGCUUAACUGUCAGGCUUUCAGGAGAUACUGUCUGGCUCGAGGCCGGGAGAGGUGAGAGGUACUUCAGGGGUAGGGGUGAAAUCUUGUAAUCCUUGAAGGACCACCAGUGGCGAAGGCGUCUCACCAGAACGGACCUGACGGCAAGGGACGAAAGCUAGGGGCACGAACCGGAUUAGAUACCCGGGUAGUCCUAGCCGUAAACGAUACUCGCUAGGUGUCGGCCACGGUGCGACCGUUGUCGGUGCCGUAGGGAAGCCGUGAAGCGAGCCACCUGGGAAGUACGGCCGCAAGGCUGAAACUUAAAGGAAUUGGCGGGGGAGCACCACAACGGGUGGAGCUUGCGGUUUAAUUGGAUUCAACGCCGGAAAUCUUAC